Molecule: ribosomal RNA, 465 nt
Filed under: uncultured bacterium
Lineage: Bacteria
Description: partial 16S ribosomal RNA
Rfam family: Bacterial small subunit ribosomal RNA
Source: RNAcentral
CCUACGAGUGGCAGCAGUGGGGAAUAUUGCACAAUGGGCGCAAGCCUGAUGCAGCCAUGCCGCGUGUAUGAAGAAGGCCUUCGGGUUGUAAAGUACUUUCAGCGGGGAGGAAGGGAGUAAAGUUAAUACCUUUACUCAUUGACGUUACCCGCAAAAGAACCACCGGCUCACUCCGUGCCAGCAGCCUCGGGAAUAAGGAGGGUGCAAGCGUUAGUCGGAAUUACUGGGCGUAAAGCGCACGCAGGCGGUUUGUUAAGUCAGAUGUGAAAUCCCCGGGCUCAACCUGGGAACUGCAUCUGAUACUGGCGAGAUUGAGUAGAGUAGAGGGGGGUAGAAUGCGAGGUGUAGCGGUGAAAUGCGUAGAGAGCAGGAGGAAUACCGGUGGCGAAGGCGGCCCCCUGGACGAAGACUGACGCUGAGGUGCGAAAGCGUGGGGAGCAAACAGGAUUAGAUACCCGAGUAGUC